Molecule: ribosomal RNA, 291 nt
Filed under: uncultured prokaryote
Description: partial 16S ribosomal RNA
Rfam family: Bacterial small subunit ribosomal RNA
Source: RNAcentral
GUGUCAGUAGCCGCGGUAAUACGGAGGGUGCGAGCGUUAAUCGGAAUUACUGGGCGUAAAGCGCAUGCAGGUGGUUAGUUAAGUCAGAUGUGAAAGCCCGGGGCUCAACCUCGGAAUUGCAUUUGAAACUGGCUGACUAGAGUACUGUAGAGGGGGGUAGAAUUUCAGGUGUAGCGGUGAAAUGCGUAGAGAUCUGAAGGAAUACCGGUGGCGAAGGCAGCCCCCUGGACAGAUACUGACACUCAGAUGCGAAAGCGUGGGAGCGAACAGGAUUAGAUACCCUGGUAGUCC